AUUAUUCUUUUAACGCCAACCCUUUCUUCUCCUUCUGCUUCUUCUUCAGACGUUUAGAUUGACUAACGCCAACCUCUCUCUCUUCCAAAUACAGUUUCAAAACUUCAGACCUUCGGCUUUCUAACGCCAACCUCUCUCUUCCCUCCUUCGUCUCUUCCUCUCCUUAUUUAAGUGAAUCACUCCUUCAUACCUCAUCAAUAUUUCCCCUCCUUUUGCUCUUCCUAUCUUUCACGGUUUCAAAACUUCAGAAUUGCAGCUUUCUCUUCCCUCCUUCGUCUCUUCCUCUCCUCAUUUAAUUGAAUCAGAAAACAAUAUAUUUAAAGAAGAGCUCAGAAAUACUGAUAGACUUCACUUCAGUAAUUCAAUCAACACUCUGUUUCCUAUCCGUAUCCUUUUGUGAGAGGCAAAUUGGUCCGACCACAGGCCUAAGUUCAAGGCCACCGUCAACUUUAAUGGCGAGGAGUUGUUAGCUGCCUCCUCUGUACGAGCUGUCAAUAUCUACAUUGGCUAGAAGAGAAAAGCUCAAAAAUUAGGGUAAGGAAAAUUACCCCAAUCUGUGAUUAUUUGAAGCUAAGGUUAUACAACUUCAGGAGAUUGGAGGAAGAAUGUAUCCACCUUCCUUGUGCAGGCCGUGAGGAAAGAACAUAUCAAGAUUCAUUGUUUUUGAAUAGCUGCACCUUGCAGGUCAAUCUCCAUAUGUGGUUUACAUUAUUCUCAUCACGCUAUAAUGGAUAGUUUAUCAUUUGAACCUUAGACUGUAGUCAUAAUACAUGUGACUUUGUUUAAUGUACAUCUAUCUUCAGUGUCGAUUUGGUAGUUCUGCUACUUGCUGAGUUGUGUGGGAGGGUCAUUAUGGAUUGUACUGAAGCCUUUAUCCAUACCUUAAUCAAUAUUACUAAUUUCCUAUUUUAUAUAGAUGAUUGUGCAUUGAUUGGAUGUAUUUAAAUGUCUAAUUGAUUUAAUUGUCACUUAACUACAUAUGUUAAUCAAUUGUCACGUAAUUAGGUAUUGCCACAUUCACUAUGAUAAAUUGAUAAUAGAGUAGAGAAACUAACAAAAAAGGCCUAGAGUUAUUCAAACAAGAG
This is a long non-coding RNA of Quercus robur (English oak), 1085 nucleotides long. RefSeq lists it as uncharacterized. The transcript has 3 exons. The record is from RefSeq and is a predicted model, not a curated record. NCBI's taxonomy places the organism in Eukaryota, Viridiplantae, Streptophyta, Magnoliopsida, Fagales, Fagaceae.